Molecule: ribosomal RNA, 253 nt
Filed under: uncultured bacterium
Lineage: Bacteria
Description: partial 16S ribosomal RNA
Rfam family: Bacterial small subunit ribosomal RNA
Source: RNAcentral
UACAGAGGGUGCAAGCGUUAAUCGGAAUUACUGGGCGUAAAGGGUGCGUAGGCGGGUCUUUAAGUCAGGGGUGAAAUCCUGGAGCUCAACUCCAGAACUGCCUUUGAUACUGAGGAUCUUGAGUUCGGGAGAGGUGAGUGGAACUGCGAGUGUAGAGGUGAAAUUCGUAGAUAUUCGCAAGAACACCAGUGGCGAAGGCGGCUCACUGGCCCGAUACUGACGCUGAGGCACGAAAGCGUGGGGAGCGAACAGG